This 29-nucleotide non-coding RNA is filed under the name Homo sapiens (human). Lineage: Eukaryota; Metazoa; Chordata; Mammalia; Primates; Hominidae. The record is from RNAcentral.
UAGCUCAUCCAUUUGGGCCUAGACGCUUU